This 3890-nucleotide long non-coding RNA is filed under the name Salmo salar (Atlantic salmon). RNAcentral's name for it is "lncRNA (ENSSSAG00000094412.1)". The record is from RNAcentral. Lineage: Eukaryota; Metazoa; Chordata; Actinopteri; Salmoniformes; Salmonidae.
AAUCGGUGACGUCACUCGUUCUGCGACCUUAAGUAGUUGUUCCCCUUGCACUGCAAGGGCCGUGGCUUUUGUGGCGCGAUGGGUAACGAUGCUUUGUGGGUGUCAGUUGUUGAUGUGCGCAGAGGGGCCCUGGUUCGAGCCCAGGUUGAGGCAAGGAGAGGGACGGAAGCUAUACUGUUACACACCAGGACCACAUCCGCCUGCGCUAUGACAAAGAAAAGACCAUGGUUGCAGACGGAACUGGUAGUACACAAGUUCCUGCAGAGGGUGAUGGAUUUUCUCUCACAAACACCCAACCCACUCCUGUGCCCCCAGACCCAGCUCCACUGGGAGACACCAUACCUGUGUCUCGUAGCACACCAGGAGUACUGCCCAGGUCACAGCGUAGUCACAAGCCUCCUGAAAGACCAACUCUGUAGUUGAGACCGAGAGCCUUGUGGUGUUAGUGUUUGUUUGGAACAGCAGACUUAGUUGAAAAGAAAUAAGGGCUCUCAUUUUUUUGUUUGUUUACAUUUACAGUAACAUUAGCAGAAGUUGUACAGAGUUGAAAACACUGAUGUUGUCACAUGGAUGACGCUGGAGAGACGAAGCAGGUACGGGGAGUAAAACAUUUCAUUAUAACGGACAUGGCACGAGACAGGAACAGCGUCAGCAAAAGUAAUACAGACAAAAAACAAUUAAUGCAGCAGCAGGGAACAGAGCAAGGGAACAGACAAAUAUAGGGGAGGAAAAGGACAUGUGAUAAGUGAGUCCAGGUGAGUCCAAUAACGCUGAUGCGAGUGACGAGGGAAGGCAGGUGUGCGUGAUGCAGGGUAAUCUGGCGCCCUGAAGCGCCAGGGGAAGGGAAGAGCGGGAGCAGACAUGACAGUUGUGGUUUACUUGUUAAUCUUAUGUUUCUACCUCAUAGGGGGGAAUGAAAUUAUUAUAGUGUUAUAGUGUGGACACUAUAUAAAUAAUUACAUUGAAUAUGUUAUUGUACUUACCUGCAGUAUAGUUUGAUUACUAUUCAUGUGUUCAUGGUUAUUAUUGGCAUUGUCCUUGACUGUGACUUUUCCCCUUUGAUGAUGUCAUCACCCAGAGUUGUGCCUGUUCAAUGCGACUCAGGAUGAAUGGGCUGCAUCACUUUGCUGUGUUUGUACCAUUUGUACAUGGCUGUACACCUUUUAUUUAUUAGGUUGAAAAUAAAGGAAUGUAAUAUUGAAUUGCGUGUGGGCAUUCCUUGUCAAGUUACUACAUUUUGUAUCGCAUUCAAAUGAUAACACUGGGGGGACACAGAAAUGCAUCCCCAGUGAAAGUUGCGCCCCUGUGUUUAGCUAUUUCCUUGCAGAUGUGAAGGAGAUGCAUCAGGUUUACAUCAUCUCUGAACCAGGCCAUCUUUCUGUAUGACAACUCAAUCAAUUAAUCAACAAAUAACUUUUCAUGCUUAUCUGAAAAUCAUUUCUGGUCACAGAUUACAUUUCUUGCAGUUAAUUGAGCGGCUACUGUUGGGAAAAGGUGACGCAUUUGAGCCAAAACAAUUUGCUGUGUAAAUUGACCUAAAUCCACUAGUGGAAUAGAGUUCAUUGGCCAUCAACUAUAAUUGUUUUAGGGUCUCUGCCAGGACUUUGUUAGGUCUAUAAGCUGCGCUUUGUUCACUGACAGCAGAGCUGACAUAGCAUUAUUUUUGUAUCUGUGCCCCAUCACAUUUUGCCCUGCCCUCACUGUAGCUGCUUACUGUCUGCCUCAACAACAACAACACAGAUACCAACACCAAGCCUUUACAAGUACAAGGAGCAGAGUGAAAUCCUGACCUGGUUGAGCCUACUUGACAUGAUCAUGUAUGUUAAACUAGAGGAUCGCUUGGCUAUCUAGAGCUCAAGGAGACUUAAUAUAAUGGAACUACUGUACACAGUAUGUGUUGGUACAGAGGUGUUGAGGAUAUAGAGGUGUUGAGGAUGUUGAGGUGUUGAGGAUAUAGAGGUGUUGAGGAUGUGGAGGUGUUGAGGAUGUAGAGGUGUUGAGGAUGUAGAGAUGUUGAGGUUUUAGAGAUGUUGAGGAUUUAGAGAUGUUGAGGUGUUGAGGAUGUCGAUGUGUUGAGGAUUUAGAGAUGUUGAGGUGUUGAGGAUAUAGAGGUGUUGAAGAUUUAGAGAUGUUGAGGUGUUGAGGAUGUAGAGGUGUUGAGGAUAUAGAGGUGUUGAGGAUAUAAAGGUGUUGAGGAUGUAGAGGUGUUGAGGAUAUAAAGGUGUUGAGGAUAUAGAGGUGUUGGGGAUAUAGAUGUGUUGAGGAUAUAGAGGUGUUGAGGAAAUAGAGGUGUUGAGGAUAUAGAGGUGUUGAGGAUAUAAAGGUGUUGAGGAUAUAGAGGUGUUGAGGAUAUAGAGGUGUUGAGGAUAUAGAGGUGUUGAGGAUAUAGAGGUGUUGAGGAUAUAGAGGUGUUGAGGAUAUAGAGGUGUUGAGGAUAUAGAGGUGUUGAGGAUAUAGAGGUGUUGAGGAUAUAGAGGUGUUGAGGAUAUAGAGGUGUUAAGGUGUUGAGGAUGUAGAGGUGUUAAGGUGUUGAGGAUGUAGAGGUGUUGAGGAUGUAGAGGUGUUGAGGAUGUAGAGGUGUUGAGGAUGUAGAGGUGUUGAGGAUGUAGAGGUGUUGAGGAUGUAGAGGUGUUGAGGAUGUAGAGGUGUUGAGGAUGUAGAGGUGUUGAGGAUAUAGAGGUGUUGAGGAUGUAGAGGUGUUAAGGUGUUGAGGAUGUAGAGGUGUUAAGGUGUUGAGGAUGUAGAGGUGUUGAGGAUGUAGAGGUGUUGAGGAUAUAAAGGUGUUAAGGUGUUGAGGAUGUAGAGGUGUUAAGGUGUUGAGGAUGUAGAGGUGUUGAGGAUGUAGAGGUGUUGAGGAUAUAAAGGUGUUAAGGUGUUGAGGAUGUAGAGGUGUUAAGGUGUUGAGGAUGUAGAUGUGUUGAGGUGUUGAGGAUAUAGUACUGAAAAUGUCAGGCAUGACUAAACCUAUGAGACAAAUCCUUGUGGCAUUGGGGUUUCACAUGCACACAGCAUAUCUGCAGGAUGUAUUUGAGAGAAGAUUUGCAUAAAGCAUGUCACUCAAACCAUGACUGAAGUAAUAUGUCACGCCGCAUACAGGCAUGUUGAUAUGGUAAUUCUGCAGUAUAUCAUAUUACUGCACGGUAUCAUGAUUAAGGUCCAAGAAACAAAAGAAAAAGAUAUUGCAUUGAAGAAUGACAUUACAAUUAGUUGUUCCAAACAUUUCUCCUUUUAAGCAUCCAUCUGAUCAGAUAAUGAUGCGGUACUUACCCGUUCUAGUGCAGCAUCAUUGUCUAAUGCAACACUGUAGCAAAAAAAAGAGGAAAUUCAGCUCUCUUAUUUUUACCAGAUUAUAAUCAUGACUAGCAUCUUAUUGUGUUAUAACCGACAUGUUCACUUCCUCAAAUGACUAUAAAGACAUAUAACUAUCCUAAUAGGAUGGUGUGAAGGGAAUUCAGCUACUUCUUCUCACCUCACACUGUCCCUAGUGUGACCCUGCACAUUGAUCUGGUACUGCUACUUCCUCUAUAUAGCUCAACAUUCAUCUGGUACUGGCACUCCCUGUAUACAGCUCCACAUUGAUCUGGUACUGCUACUCCCUGUAUAUACAGUUGAAGUCGGAAGUUUACAUACGCUUAGGUUGGAGUGAUUAAAACUCAUUUUUCAACCACUCCACACGUUUCUUGUUAACAAACUAUAGUUUUGGCUAUUGGUUAGGACAUCUACUUUGUGCAUGACUCAAGUAAUUUUUCCAACAAUUGUUUACAGACAGAUUAUUUCACUUAUAAUUCACUGUAUCACAAUUCCAGUGGGUCAGAAGUUUACAUACACUAAAUUGACUGUGCCUUUAAAAAGCUUGGGAAAUUCCAGAAAAUGAUGUCAUGGCUUUAGAA